GACUGCACUGCCAGGUGGCGGGGAGGUGGCGGGAGAAAGGACGGCUCAGGAGUCUGGUUUCAGACGCUGGCUGGGUGACAUUGCUGCUCCUCAAAGCAAGUACCAAGCUAGAGGACCUGUCCUGGAGGCCUGGACCAGGAUGUGGCCUGGGGCCAUUUGAGGUGAGAGACGUGGAAGAGAAGAAACCAGUCCGAGUUUCUUCUGGUUUCUUCUCUUCUUUUUCUUUGGUUUCUUCUGGUUUCUUCUUUUCAGCCAGACGGGGAGAGGGGUAGGUGGCUGGGACGCACGCAGGUGUAAGUUGGCAAGGGCCACACACUGUGUCCCACGGGCAGCAGCUCAAACAGCACACGUUCAUCCUCUCACAGCUCUUGAGGCCAGAAGUCCAAGAUGGAGACAGGGGCAGGGCGGGUGUCUCCAGAGCUGGCUCCCUGCCCCUUCGCGGGCCGUCCUCUGCCGUCUCCCCUGGCUUCUCUGCACUCCAGCUGCAGACAGAUGGGGACCCACCAGAGGACCUCGCUUCACCUUCAUCCUGCAUGCAGGACACACACGUGUGUGCGUGAGUGUGCAGAACUCGGGACACAGGCAAACAGAGCAACGGCUGUUUGAGGCCUGCAACUGCAGGGUUUUAUUCCAUCAGUAAAGAUGUACAUCUCCCAGGACUUAGGGCUUCCCGAUAAAUGUAAUCGAGUUUUAAAGAUAAAACUGGACUUAUUAAAGGUACAGCUUUCCAUAGGUGUGUUUUUUUGCCCCUGAAUUACGUACAAUCUCCUUAUUUUUGUUAUUAUAGUGUUGAAGUGGAUGGAGGUCUCCUGUUUUAAUAUUCUUUUUUUUCCACUGAGCCACAUCCCCAGCCCUUUUUGUAUUUUAUUUAGAGACAGGGUCUCACUGAGUUGCUUAAGGGCCUCACUAAAUUGCUGAGGCUGACUGAUCUUGUGAUUGUUAGGAUGGCCUUAGGCCUGAGACUAAGCAACUCCAUUUUAAAAACUCCAGUUUAACCUGCCGUUCACCAGGCACACCACAGAGCCCUCCAGUGUGGCCUCAGAAAAGUCACCUCCCCUCACCCUGAUAAACAGAGGGAAGCCCCUGGCAGGCUGUCCUUGCCUGAUAAGAGGGAAAAGUGAGAAGAUCAGGGUGGAGACCACCAGACCAGACGUUUCUGACCCCAGGGUAAAUGAUGUCACUGAGAAAUCCAGUGGUAGCUGAUAAGGAUUGAAAGACGGGUCAAAAAAAAAAAAACAAAAUUUAGUAUAAAUGAUAGAGCAAAGGAACAAGGAUGCCCUCGAGCUGGAGAGCCUGCUGAGGACCUGACGUCCCAUCACUGUCAUCAUUCCCUGAGCCUCCGCCUGAUCCUCACUGCUCUCACUCUCUACAGCCUCAUCUGGACCUUGGUGAGAGCCGCAACGCCUCCCUAAGACCCCCUCCUCGACUGGGCGUCCACUCCACACCAGGAAAAGCCUGCUUUGGUUCCAGACCUGAUCCCCAUGGUCUGAGUGAGUGUGCAUCUGCUGGACAUAAAGCCUAACGCUUGAGACUUUUGAGCUUAGCACGCAGAGGGAAUGUCUGUCACGAGCCUGUCAUGAUCAAGUGCGUUUGCAGUGCUUAGAAAUAAUCUAGAAUUGUUUGUUGUGAAUUAAUUCAUCUAGAAUUGUUUGCUGUGAAUUGAUUAUGGCUAUUGCAGUGCCUAGCAUUAAGGAUUGUCGUUUUCUUGAUUAAGAACCUGUAGAGUGAAAUUGUAUGGAGUAAUUUGAGUGAAUAAAGCACUGAAAGAGGCACAAGG
RNAcentral lists this long non-coding RNA (1777 nucleotides) under Marmota monax (woodchuck). Lineage: Eukaryota; Metazoa; Chordata; Mammalia; Rodentia; Sciuridae. The record is from RNAcentral.